This 253-nucleotide ribosomal RNA is filed under the name uncultured bacterium. RNAcentral describes it as "partial 16S ribosomal RNA". It matches the Rfam family "Bacterial small subunit ribosomal RNA", at positions 524 to 776 of the family's 1533-position model. The record is from RNAcentral.
UACAGAGGUGGCAAGCGUUGUUCGGAAUUACUGGGCGUAAAGGGCGCGUAGGCGGCCAUCUAAGUCAGACGUGAAAUCCCCCGGCUUAACCUGGGAACUGCGUCUGAUACUGGAAGGCUUGAGUAUGGGAGAGGGAUGUAGAAUUCCAGGUGUAGCGGUGAAAUGCGUAGAUAUCUGGAGGAACACCGGUGGCGAAGGCGGCAUCCUGGACCGACACUGACACUGAGGAGCGAAAGCCAGGGGAGCAAACGGG